CCUACGGGUGGCAGCAGUGAGGAAUAUUGGUCAAUGGGAGAGAUCCUGAACCAGCCAAGCCGCGUGAGGGAAGACGGCCCUAUGGGUUGUAAACCUCUUUUGUCGGAGAACAAAACCCGGGACGUGUCCCGGACUGCGUGUAUCCGAAGAAAAAGCAUCGGCUAACUCCGUGCCAGCAGCCGCGGUAAUACGGAGGAUGCGAGCGUUAUCCGGAUUUAUUGGGUGUAAAGGGUGCGGAGGCGGUCCGUUAAGUCAGCGGGAAAAUUGCGGGGCUAAACCCCGGCGAGCCGUUGAAACUGGCAGACUUGAGUUGGCGAGAAGUACGCGGAAUGCGCGGUGUAGCGGUGAAAUGCAUAGAUAUCGCGCAGAACUCCGAUUGCGAAGGCAGCGUACCGGCGCCAGACUGACGCUGAGGCACGAAAGCGUGGGGAUCGAACAGGAUUAGAUACCCCUGUAGUC
This 459-nucleotide ribosomal RNA is filed under the name uncultured bacterium. RNAcentral describes it as "partial 16S ribosomal RNA". It matches the Rfam family "Bacterial small subunit ribosomal RNA", at positions 338 to 795 of the family's 1533-position model. The record is from RNAcentral.